RNAcentral lists this ribosomal RNA (465 nucleotides) under uncultured bacterium. RNAcentral's name for it is "partial 16S ribosomal RNA". It matches the Rfam family "Bacterial small subunit ribosomal RNA", at positions 338 to 795 of the family's 1533-position model. The record is from RNAcentral.
CCUACGGGAGGCAGCAGUGGGGAAUAUUGCGCAAUGGGCGAAAGCCUGACGCAGCGACGCCGCGUGAGGGAUGAAGGUCUUCGGAUCGUAAACCUCUGUCAGCAGGGAAGAACGGUCACUGUGCUAAUCAGCAGUGAAUUGACGGUACCUGCAAAGGAAGCACCGGCUAACUCCGUGCCAGCAGCCGCGGUAAUACGGAGGGUGCGAGUGUUAAUCGGAAUUACUGGGCGUAAAGCGCUCGUAGGCGGUAGGUAAAGUCAAGGGUGAAAGCCCCGCGCUCAACGUGGGAACUGCCUUUGAAACUGGAAAAAUGGAGUGUGUGAGAGGAUAGUGGAAUUCCAGGUGUAGCAGUGAAAUCCGUAGAUAUCUGGAGGAACAUCGGUGGCGAAGGCGACUAUCUGGCACAUAACUGACGCUGAGGAACGAAAGCGUGGGUAGCAAACAGGAUUAGAUACCCUUGUAGUC